This 253-nucleotide ribosomal RNA is filed under the name uncultured bacterium. RNAcentral's name for it is "partial 16S ribosomal RNA". It matches the Rfam family "Bacterial small subunit ribosomal RNA", at positions 524 to 776 of the family's 1533-position model. The record is from RNAcentral.
UACAGAGGUCUCAAGCGUUGUUCGGAUUCAUUGGGCGUAAAGGGUGCGUAGGCGGUGGGGCAAGUCAGGUGUGAAAUCCCGGAGCUCAACUCCGGAACUGCACUUGAUACUGCUUUACUAGAGUACUGGAGAGGAGACUGGAAUUUACGGUGUAGCAGUGAAAUGCGUAGAUAUCGUAAGGAAGACCAGUGGCGAAGGCGAGUCUCUGGACAGUUACUGACGCUGAGGUGCGAAAGCGUGGGGAGCAAACAGG